This 317-nucleotide ribosomal RNA is filed under the name uncultured bacterium. Its description in RNAcentral is "bacterial SSU rRNA". It matches the Rfam family "Bacterial small subunit ribosomal RNA", at positions 28 to 334 of the family's 1533-position model. The record is from RNAcentral.
AAAACACUGACGAACGCUGGCGGCGUGCUUAACACAUGCAAGUCGAACGGAUUGCGCCUGCUUUUGUGGGUGUGGUUAGUGGCGAACGGGUGAGUAACACGUGAGUAACCUGCCCCCUUCUUUGGGAUAAGCUCCUGAAAGGGUGUCUAAUACUGAUUAUUCUGCUGGUCUCGCAUGGGGCUGGUUGGAAAGCUUUUGUGGUUGGGGAUGGGCUCGCGGCUUAUCAGCUUGUUGGUGGGGUAAUGGCUUACCAAGGCUUUGACGGGUAGCCGGCCUGAGAGGGUGGUCGGUCACAUUGGGACUGAGAUACGGCCCAG